This is a long non-coding RNA of Gallus gallus (chicken), 2159 nucleotides long. The record is from Ensembl. Lineage: Eukaryota; Metazoa; Chordata; Aves; Galliformes; Phasianidae.
AGGGGUCCCAAAAUGCAACUUUAAAAACAGCUUAAAAGGCUUCUUUAUAGUGCUCCAGGACCUUAAUCAUCUUUCUGGCCCAGACUGGACUGUCCUAGUGUCACUGAGUGAAGCACUGAUAUUCUUUAUUUGAAUAUAAUCUUUUAUAAUCUUAGACACUGUUCAAUUGAGGGGAGAGUAAAGCAUGAGCAAUUGAAAAAAUAUAUGCCUGGACUUCAAAAUUAAAUCUGAAAACUGUAAUUCUUCAGAUGGGGAUCAUGUAACUAUCAAGUCUGCAUUUCUGCUCUGCUGAGAAGACCUUUGUACCUAUGAAGAGCCUGCAAAGCCUAAUGAGAAGAUAGAUCUAGGGAUGCAAGCUUGGGAACUGGAUAAAAACAGUUAUAGAGACGGUGAUGUUUCAGAGUCUAGCAUUUCUGUUACAAAGACUCACAGUAAGUACAAAGUCUGGUCAUUUCGUACCACAGGGCCUUUCUACUUAUGCUUCUUUACUGUUGUGCUGGACAGCAACGAGGAGCAAAACAUCUUUUGAAAUUCUUCUUGGGAUUGGAUACCUCUAUGGAUAAAAGAGGAAGUCUUUUUGUGUUACUUCUUAUUCAGUGCCAGUGCAGUACUGGAGAAGUAGAAAAGAUCAAGCAGAUUGAAAGCAUUGCUUUAAAUCCUUCUUUUAUCCAUUAGUUGAUGAAAACUGAAGGAUGUCAGGAUUCUGGCAUCGCUGCUGUACUUUUCUUCUGAAUGCAACUGUAUGGAAUGGAGGAAGGAGUGCUGAUAUUGCAAGAAAAUUCCCUAAUGUUUUCAUAGCUUAUACAAAAUGUGAUCUUCCUUUUGGCAGACUUCACUUGGUUGAAUCCCUACCAAUGCAGAAGGUGAAUAAGAAUACCUGGACUCAAUCUGUAAUUCAAUUCUGGAUCCUAUUUCCUAGUUUCACCUGUGCAUGUAUGCUUCUGUCUCUGUGUUUAUGAAUAAUAUCUAUCAGUUCUCUCCAUCAUCCUGGUUGAGAGAGUGAGUGAGUGGGCAGCUGGGUGGAGGGCUUACCUGUCUGCCAGGGACAACCCAACCACAUGGAAGAAGAAACUAUAAGAAUGCAGUAUAAAUGGUUAAAAGCCUUUUAUUUCUGUUUUCUGGUAUUAUUUCAGUUGUUUCUGUGAAUUUGCUUACUGUGCUUUUCUGUACCUUAAGGUUGUUGGCUGGGCUUACUGUUGUCUUUAUAAAACUUACGUUGUACCACACAAAGAUAAACAGAAGUAGAACAAAUUAGCUGUUGUAGACAUCUUGUCUGUUAGAAAUACUGUUACUAGAGCUAAACCAAGUGGGGAAAAGAACACUACAAAAAAAAAAAAAUUGAGGAAAGUUCACAUAGGUGUCCUGACACCUCUAAAUUCAUUGCUAAGCUUAUUAUGACCCAGUAGUAGUCAGAACUGUCCUAUAUGUCUGCAUUUUUACUACAGGAAAGAGACAAGGAAGAUAAGAGGCCCAUUUGGAAAGUUUUUCUAAGAAGCAGACAAAAUUUAGAGUAAGCAGACUGGAAGGAAGGUCUGAAUUUCGAUGAUUUUGUAUUUCUGUGCCAUAAGCAAGGAAAUUAAUAGCAACUUUGGAGCAAAUACAGUUACAAGAAAAGUAACGCAGUAACUGUUGUUUCCAUGAUAGAAAGGAAGGAGCAAAAAAAAUCUCAACUGAAGGAGCAUUUUUCCUGUUCAGACAAAAAUAAUCUUCACCAAGUAGGAGUACAAAUUGCAUUUAACCAAAACAAUGUAUAAAUAUUAUUCUAACCAUGUGGAUAAAAGGCUGCAUAAUCCACAAUUGCAAUUAGUAUUUUGUUUACGACAGCAUUAACCUUUCUGAAACUAAAACUUUACAGUUAGGGUGAACAGGAAAGCAAAGAUAUUGGGAUACUUCGCUAGAUUGGAGCAAUAUGAAGUCAUGAGUUUCAAGGAUUUUGUCAUAUCUCUAUGGAUUUACAGUGGCACAUGUCUUUUUUUUCCUAAGGCAAGCUAGAUUUAAGAAUUCAUGAGCUAUUUUUUUAUUUAGAACUCAGAUUUUAAGGAAUAAUCUCUGUUAAUGGUAUGUGUGAAUGUGUAGUCAUUUUUACAGCUUAAAUAUGCAGUUCAUUCAAGUUGGAUGAAAAUAAGUCUCUUGCAUUUACUUGCAGAUAAAUUCAUGGG